This 442-nucleotide ribosomal RNA is filed under the name uncultured bacterium. Its description in RNAcentral is "bacterial SSU rRNA". It matches the Rfam family "Bacterial small subunit ribosomal RNA", at positions 196 to 633 of the family's 1533-position model. The record is from RNAcentral.
GGGAUCGAAAGACCUCGUGCUUUGAGGGUGGCCGAUGUCUGAUUAGCUAGUUGGUAGGGUAAAGGCCUACCAAGGCGACGAUCAGUAGCUGGUCUGAGAGGACGAUCAGCCACACUGGGACUGAGACACGGCCCAGACUCCUACGGGAGGCAGCAGUGGGGAAUUUUGGACAAUGGGCGAAAGCCUGAUCCAGCCAUGCCGCGUGAGUGAAGAAGGCCUUCGGGUUGUAAAGCUCUUUCGGUCGGAAAGAAAUAUCUAUAAAAAAUAUUUAUAGAGGAUGACGGUACCGACAUAAGAAGCACCGGCUAACUACGUGCCAGCAGCCGCGGUAAUACGUAGGGUGCAAGCGUUAAUCGGAAUUAUUGGGCGUAAAGGGUGCGCAGGCGGUGCUGUAAGUCAGAUGUGAAAUCCCCGGGCUUAACCUGGGAAUUGCGUUUGAAAC